CCGGCGUGCCGGCGUCCAUGCUCGCGGCAGAGCUGCUGGUGCUGAGCUUCUUGCUGAAGAGCGGCGUGGUGGGCACGGCCACGGUGCUGACGGCAGCUGGAGGAGGGACGAACACCCGCGAUGGGAUCACCCAUGAUGGAUUGGAAGCGCCUCAUCCACGCCGCAGGAGGGUGGGCAGCAUCCCAGCCGUCACCA
This is a long non-coding RNA of Oxyura jamaicensis (ruddy duck), 195 nucleotides long. RefSeq lists it as uncharacterized. The record is from RefSeq and is a predicted model, not a curated record. NCBI's taxonomy places the organism in Eukaryota, Metazoa, Chordata, Aves, Anseriformes, Anatidae. The transcript has 3 exons.